CAUGCACCGCAUGCACACUACCGCCGCUCAUUGAUAGGUAUUCAGAGAGAGGGAGGAAAUGAAGCUCGCUUACGCUCAUUGUUCUGGUUGUUCCCGGAUUGGGGCUGCACCUUGCGGCUAAGCGCUGGAAGCAGUUCUACGCUAGCAUAUAACAAGAAUCUACAGCCAGAAACAAGUAGUCAAUGCUAAUUAUCGCUAAUAUUCGGAACAAAUUCCUCCUUCUCCAAAUCCAGGAGGAAAAAAUUUUAAAGAAAAGAUUGAAAUAUGACAAGAUGCGUCCACUCUGGAGAAACAAUGGAAUUGAUGCAAACCCUGAUGAAGCAAACAACAGAUCCAGAAAAGAAGAAAGACAGAUCUGAUAAAACAAAGAAUGUAAGAUGGCCAGAGAAUAAAGAAAUUAAAACCUGAUUAAAUUAAGGAAAAAUUCUACUAUACAAAAAUGGAAGGUAUGAAAAAUUAAACAAAAUUACCUGACCUAAGAAUAUCGAAAUCGAAGAACAAUGAGAGGUCCGCGACAUGCACCGCCUUGCGCGGGUUCUGGUCAUCACAAUACUCAGUACGAUAAACAAGCAACUGCAACGUUUCAAGAGAUCAAGUAUCGGCAUCAGCAAAGGUAAUUACGCUUCAAGGAGAGUACGACAUGUAAUACAUUUAUCGUUUGAAUAAAUUAGGCGUUGACCAUUACUCUUAACAAUCAAGAAUUAUUAUUGUAUAUUUAAUCAGGUCUUCUUUAAGACUAUCAGACAUUUAAAACGACCGUUCGCUGUGAUAACUUGUGAUCUCGUCGUUACUGAAAGAAUCGCGCAGAUUAUGCUGCCUUCAAUAACUGAAGGCGCCUACGGACUUUUUGCAUUUCUCUUCCCACUGUGAGCAGAAAUAUCUGCUCGUCUUUGGGCAAGAUGUGCGAAGUCACAUUGGUUGCCACAGAGAGUAUUAUUGUUACAAAUAGUCUUGGUUCGUGCUAAAUGCCAAAAGCAAGAAAGAAUCAUAGAGCCGAAAACCAUAAUAGUAAAAAACGUACAGAACGUUGGUUUAAACGUUUGUUAGCUGCCAAAAUUAAAAGAGAAGAAGAGAGGAAUCGAAAAAAUUAGGAUUAACCGUAGAGCAAAUAGAAAUUAGUUUCUCGCCGUCAAUCUAGAGCUCCGUUGCCAGUAGUUUAUGAUAGCGAUAAUUAUCCCUGUUUUACAACCUACAUAGUGAAUUAUAUCAGAACUUUGUUAAUAAACAUACAAUUAAAUGAAUCGAAUAAAUCACCAAUUAAGAAGA
This is a long non-coding RNA of Bombus pascuorum, 1266 nucleotides long. RefSeq lists it as uncharacterized. The record is from RefSeq and is a predicted model, not a curated record. NCBI's taxonomy places the organism in Eukaryota, Metazoa, Arthropoda, Insecta, Hymenoptera, Apidae. The transcript is spliced from 2 exons.